Molecule: long non-coding RNA, 738 nt
Filed under: Mytilus galloprovincialis (Mediterranean mussel)
Lineage: Eukaryota; Metazoa; Mollusca; Bivalvia; Mytilida; Mytilidae
Source: RNAcentral
GGCCAAAAUUAAAAAUGUUUGUUUCCCCUCCCCCCACCCGGGUCAAAAAAUUAUUUUCCACAAAAAAAUCGAAAUUAUUUUUUUCCGGAAAAUAAUUUGUUUCCAUUUUUGGAAAGUGCUUGAAAGCAGAAGGAUUGAUAAUCUAAAUAAAUACACUCAAAUUGAGCACAAACAACUGAUAAGUGGCCUGGACUGGACAAGUCAACCCAUUCAUGUGACCAUGCUAUGACAAUCACAAUCAGUUAAAAAAAAAAGAACCUGCCUUCCUGGUCUGUUUACAAAGGGUAGACCCGGGGGAGGGGAAACAGACAUUCUUUUAAAUGUGGCCUUGAAUCAGUAAAAGAAGAAAGAUAUACUUAUUUUUAAGAAGUUUAAUUUCAAUAAAAAGAAAACAGAACAGAUAUUCCUUAAACAAUAUACAAAACCAUGCUUUUCAUCCUCUUCUUCAUGUUGGCAGUGAAAUAAAUUCAGUUCAUUUACUGCAAUAUCUUUUUUUUGUAGGGACAAUUGUUAGCACUUGAUAUCACAAAAUUAGUCACAUGAUUUUUAUUUUCGAAACAAUAUGUAUAAAUAUUAUAUUUCUAAACCACAUACACUAUAUCUGACAGUUUACAUUUAAAUUUACAAAUAAAAUAUCACAGACUUGCAUACAAUAAUAAAAAAUAACAUCAAAAUUGUUUCAAUAAAUACUGUUAAAAUUGAUUUCUGGGCGUCAAUCUUUUUCUUUCGAAAAAUACU